Molecule: ribosomal RNA, 253 nt
Filed under: uncultured bacterium
Lineage: Bacteria
Description: partial 16S ribosomal RNA
Rfam family: Bacterial small subunit ribosomal RNA
Source: RNAcentral
UACAGAGGCCCCAAGCGUUACUGAGAAUCACUGGGUUUAAAGGGUGCGUAGGUGGCGCGUUAAGUCCGUUGUGAAAUCCCUGGGCUCAACCCAGGAAUUGCUUCGGAUACUGGCGUGCUUGAGGCUAGUAGGGGUCACUGGAACUGACGGUGGAGCGGUGAAAUGCGUAGAUAUCGUCAGGAACGCCGAUGGUGAAGACAGGUGACUGGGCUAGUUCUGACACUGAGGCACGAAAGCGUGGGGAGCGAACAGG